Molecule: small nucleolar RNA, 144 nt
Filed under: Kryptolebias marmoratus (mangrove rivulus)
Lineage: Eukaryota; Metazoa; Chordata; Actinopteri; Cyprinodontiformes; Rivulidae
Source: RNAcentral
AUCCUCUGAGCUCAGGACGGUCCAGUUCUCCAUACUGGGUCUGUCAGCCGAGCGAGGAGGCAGAACAGAUCCGAGCAGCGGUGUGACCCAUUCCACCCCCAGCUGCAGCGUAGCUCUGUGGUGGAAGACAUCCCUGCUACAAAC